Molecule: transfer RNA, 69 nt
Filed under: Kineosporia succinea
Lineage: Bacteria; Bacillati; Actinomycetota; Actinomycetes; Kineosporiales; Kineosporiaceae
Description: tRNA-Arg
Source: RNAcentral
GCCCCGGCUCAGAAGAUUGAGCAGAGGUUUCCUCAAGCUUGUGUCGGAGGUUCGAAUCCUCUCGGGGCC